RNAcentral lists this ribosomal RNA (362 nucleotides) under Chlorella sorokiniana. Its description in RNAcentral is "LSU rRNA". The stretch from base 142 to 362 matches the Rfam family "Bacterial large subunit ribosomal RNA", at positions 2095 to 2465 of the family's 2925-position model. The record is from RNAcentral. Lineage: Eukaryota; Viridiplantae; Chlorophyta; Trebouxiophyceae; Chlorellales; Chlorellaceae.
AUCAUUAAAACUUGGGGAUGAGAUCCUUCCAAUGGUAGCGUCGGAUCACUAGGCCGGCUUACGCUCCUGCUCGACUUGUAGGUCUUGCAGUCAGCUCCCUUCUUCCUUUACACUCUCCGGCUGAUUUCCGUCCAGCCUGAGGGACCUUUGCAGCCUCCGUGGGUUUUUGACUGGGGCGGUCACCUCCUAAAAGGUAACGGAGGUGUGCAAGGGUUCCCUCAGGCUGGACGGAAAUCAGCCUGAGAGUGUAAAGGCAGAAGGGAGCUUGACUGCAAGACCUACAAGUCGAGCAGGGGCGAAAGCGGCCCUUAGUGAUCCGACGCUUCCAUGUGGAAGGGCCAUCGCUCAACGGAUAAAAGUUA